RNAcentral lists this ribosomal RNA (468 nucleotides) under uncultured bacterium. Its description in RNAcentral is "partial 16S ribosomal RNA". It matches the Rfam family "Bacterial small subunit ribosomal RNA", at positions 28 to 507 of the family's 1533-position model. The record is from RNAcentral.
GACGAACGCUGGCGGCGUGCUUAACACAUGCAAGUCGAACGGAAAGGCCCUGCUUUUGUGUGGUGCUCGAGGGGCGAACGGGUGAGUAACACGUGAGUAACCUUGCCUGUACUGUGUGAUAACUUCAGGAAACUGGUGCUAAUACCUGAUAGGAGCUCCUGCUGCUUGGUGGGGGUUGGAAAGUUUCGGCGGUUGGGGAUGGACGCGCGGCUUAUUAGCUUGUGGGUGGGGUAGCGGCUAACCAAGGCUUUGGAGGGUAGCCGGCCUGGGAGGGUGAACGGCCACAUUGGGCCUGAGGUAGGGCCCAGAGUGCUACGUGGGGCAGCAGUGGGGAAUAUUGCCCAAUGAGCGGAAGCAUGAUGCAGAAGUGCCGGGUGCGGGAUGACGGCUUUCGGGUUGUAAACGGCUUUAGCCUGUGACGAAGCGUGUGUGACGGUAAUGGGUAAAGAAGCACCGGCUAACUACGUG